RNAcentral lists this ribosomal RNA (406 nucleotides) under uncultured bacterium. Its description in RNAcentral is "partial 16S ribosomal RNA". It matches the Rfam family "Bacterial small subunit ribosomal RNA", at positions 29 to 526 of the family's 1533-position model. The record is from RNAcentral.
AUUGAACGCUGGCGGCAGGCCUAACACAUGCAAGUCGGGCGAGCGGCGGACGGGUGAGUAAUGUAUGGGGCUCUGCCUGAUGGAGGGGGAUAACUACUGGAAACGGUAGCUAAUCCCGCAUACCAUCAGAUGAACCCAUAUGGGAUUAGCUAGUAGGGGAGGUAACGGCUUACCUAGGCGACGAUCCCUAGCUGGUCUGAGAGGAUGAUUGGCAACACGGGGACGGAUACACGGCCCAGACUCCUACGGGAGGGAGCUGUUGGAGAUAUGGCACAAUGGGCGAAAGCCUGAUGCAGGGACGCGGAGUGGGGGAUGAAGGUUUUCGGGUUGUAAACCUGUGUCGCUAGCGAACGGGUAGGUGGAGAAGAAGCGCCGGCUAACUACGUGCCAGCAGCCGCGGUAAUAC